Molecule: ribosomal RNA, 278 nt
Filed under: uncultured Eubacterium sp.
Lineage: Bacteria; Bacillati; Bacillota; Clostridia; Eubacteriales; Eubacteriaceae
Description: partial 16S ribosomal RNA
Rfam family: Bacterial small subunit ribosomal RNA
Source: RNAcentral
GCAGCCGCGGUAACACGUAAGUUGCGAGCGUUGUUCGGAAUUAUUGGGCGUAAAGGGCAUGUAGGCGGCCCUGCAAGCUUGGUGUGAAAUCUAUGGGCUCAACCCAUAGACUGCAUUGAGAACUACAGGGCUUGAGUCGCUGAGGCGGAACUGGAAUUCCAGGUGUAGGGGUGAAAUCUGCAGAUAUCUGGAAGAACACCAAUGGCGAAGGCAAGUUCCGGGCAGAUGACUGACGCUGAGGUGCGAAGGUGCGGGGAGCAAACAGGAUUAGAUACCCC